GAAAUGCGAUAAGUAGUGUGAAUUGCAGAAUUCAGUGAAUCAUCGAAUCUUUGAACGCACAUUGCGCCCCUUGGUAUUCCAUGGGGCAUGCCUGUUCGAGCGUCAUUUGUACCCUCAAGCUCUGCUUGGUGUUGGGUGUUUGUCCCCGUCUCCGCGCGUGGACUCGCCCCAAAGUUAUUGGCAGCCGGCGUACUGGUCCCGGAGCGCAGCACAUGUCGCGCAAACGAGUGCCUUGGUACGGCGGCGUCCAUAAGCCCCUCUCUCACGCUCUUGACCUCGGAUCAGGUAGGGAUACCCGCUGAACUUAAGC
RNAcentral lists this unclassified non-coding RNA (310 nucleotides) under plant metagenome. Its description in RNAcentral is "partial contains 5.8S ribosomal RNA, internal transcribed spacer 2, and large subunit ribosomal RNA". The stretch from base 1 to 105 matches the Rfam family "5.8S ribosomal RNA", at positions 50 to 154 of the family's 154-position model. The record is from RNAcentral.